GACGAACGCUGGCGGCGUGCUUAACACAUGCAAGUCGAACGAUGAAGCACCAGCUUGCUGGUGUGGAUUAGUGGCGAACGGGUGAGUAACACGUGAGUAACCUGCCCCUCACUCUGGGAUAAGCCUGGGAAACUGGGUCUAAUACUGGAUACGACCGAUCUCCGCACGGAAUGUUGGAGGAAAGUUUUUGUGGUGGGGGAUGGACUCGCGGCCUAUCAGCUUGUUGGUGGGGUAAUGGCCUACCAAGGCGACGACGGGUAGCCGGCCUGAGAGGGCGACCGGCCACACUGGGACUGAGACACGGCCCAGACUCCUACGGGAGGCAGCAGUGGGGAAUAUUGCACAAUGGGCGAAAGCCUGAUGCAGCGACGCCGCGUGAGGGAUGACGGCCUUCGGGUUGUAAACCUCUUUCACCAGGGACGAAGCUAACGUGACGGUACCUGGAGAAGAAGCACCGGCUAACUACGUG
RNAcentral lists this ribosomal RNA (469 nucleotides) under uncultured bacterium. RNAcentral's name for it is "partial 16S ribosomal RNA". It matches the Rfam family "Bacterial small subunit ribosomal RNA", at positions 28 to 507 of the family's 1533-position model. The record is from RNAcentral.